RNAcentral lists this ribosomal RNA (520 nucleotides) under uncultured Paraglomus. RNAcentral's name for it is "SSU rRNA". It matches the Rfam family "Eukaryotic small subunit ribosomal RNA", at positions 569 to 1092 of the family's 1831-position model. The record is from RNAcentral. Lineage: Eukaryota; Fungi; Glomeromycota; Glomeromycetes; Paraglomerales; Paraglomeraceae.
AGCAGCCGCGGUAAUUCCAGCUCCAAUAGCGUAUAUUAAAGUUGUUGCAGUUAAAAAGCUCGUAGUUGAAUUUCAGGCCUGGCUGGGCGGUCCGCCUUUUGGGUGAGUACUGCCUGUGGUCGGGUCCUACCUUCUGGCGAAGCGUCAUGGCCUUAACCGGCCGUGGCGGGGAACCAGGACUUUUUACUGUGAAAAAAUUAGAGUGUUCAAAGCAGGCAGUCGCUUGAAUACAUUAGCAUGGAAUAAUGGAAUAGGACAGUGGUUCUAUUUGUUGGUUUCUAGGACCGUUGUAAUGAUUAAUAGGGAUAGUUGGGGGCAUUAGUAUUCAAUUGUCAGAGGUGAAAUUCUUGGAUUUAUUGAAGACUAACUACUGCGAAAGCAUUUGCCAAGGAUGUUUUCAUUAAUCAAGAACGAAAGUUAGGGGAUCGAAGACGAUCAGAUACCGUCGUAGUCUUAACCAUAAACUAUGCCGACUAGGAAUCGGGCGAUGUUGACAAAAUGACGCGCUCGGCACCUCAUA